GCCUUCGUGGUGUAAUGGUCAGCAUACUCGUCACGUAGUCGAGAAGUCCGAGGUUCGAGUCCCGGUGAGAGCA
Molecule: transfer RNA, 73 nt
Filed under: Stegodyphus mimosarum
Lineage: Eukaryota; Metazoa; Arthropoda; Arachnida; Araneae; Eresidae
Rfam family: tRNA
About the family: Transfer RNA (tRNA) molecules are approximately 80 nucleotides in length. Their secondary structure includes four short double-helical elements and three loops (D, anti-codon, and T loops).
Source: Rfam by way of RNAcentral